This 768-nucleotide ribosomal RNA is filed under the name uncultured bacterium. Its description in RNAcentral is "bacterial SSU rRNA". It matches the Rfam family "Bacterial small subunit ribosomal RNA", at positions 46 to 861 of the family's 1533-position model. The record is from RNAcentral.
GCUUUACACAUGCAAGUCGAACGAAGUAGCAAUACUUAGUGGCAGACGGGUGAGUAACAUGUGGGUAUCUGCCCUUUGGCCUGGAAUAACACGAGGAAACUUGUGCUAAUACCGGAUAAGUCUUUACGGAGAAAGCUUUAUGCACCAUUGGAUGAGCCCGCACUUGAUUAGUUUGUUGGUGGGGUAAUGGCCUACCAAGACUGUGAUCAAUAGCUGAUUUGAGAGGAUGAUCAGCCACAUUGGGACUGAGACACGGCCCAAACUCCUACGGGAGGCAGCAGUGGGGAAUCUUGCACAAUGGAGGAAACUCUGAUGCAGCGAUGCCGCGUGAGUGAAGAAGGCCUUUGGGUUGUAAAGCUCUUUCGUCGGGGAAGAAAAUGACUGUACCCGAAUAAGAAGGUCCGGCUAACUUCGUGCCAGCAGCCGCGGUAAUACGAAGGGACCUAGCGUAGUUCGGAAUUACUGGGCUUAAAGAGUUCGUAGGUGGUUGAAAAAGUUAGUGGUGAAAUCCCAGAGCUUAACUCUGGAACUGCCAUUAAAACUUUUCAGCUAGAGUAUGAUAGAGGAAAGCAGAAUUUCUAGUGUACAGGUGAAAUUCGUAGAUAUUAGAAAGAAUACCAAUUGCGAAGGCAGCUUUCUGGAUCAUUACUGACACUGAGGAACGAAAGCAUGGGUAGCGAAGAGGAUUAGAUACCCUCGUAGUCCAUGCCGUAAACGAUGUGUGUUAGACGUUGGAAAUUUAUUUUCAGUGUCGCAGCGAUAAGCGAU